RNAcentral lists this non-coding RNA (29 nucleotides) under Mus musculus (house mouse). The record is from RNAcentral. Lineage: Eukaryota; Metazoa; Chordata; Mammalia; Rodentia; Muridae.
UGCGUACUAUAUAUCCCAUUCGUCAUGUC